UACGUAGGGUCCGAGCGUUGUCCGGAAUUAUUGGGCGUAAAGGGCUCGUAGGCGGUUUGUCGCGUCGGGAGUGAAAUCCGGGUGCAUAACACCUGGCUUGCUUUCGAUACGGGCAGACUGGAGGUAUGCAGGGGAGAGCGGAAUUCCUGGUGUAGCGGUGAAAUGCGCAGAUAUCAGGAGGAACACCGGUGGCGAAGGCGGUUCUCUGGGCAUGACCUGACGCUGAGGAGCGAAAGUGUGGGGAGCGAACAGG
Molecule: ribosomal RNA, 253 nt
Filed under: uncultured bacterium
Lineage: Bacteria
Description: partial 16S ribosomal RNA
Rfam family: Bacterial small subunit ribosomal RNA
Source: RNAcentral